CAGUAGCCGCGGUAAUACGAAGGGUGCAAGCGUUACUCGGAAUUACUGGGCGUAAAGCGUGCGUAGGUGGUGGUUUAAGUCCGUUGUGAAAGCCCUGGGCUCAACCCGGGAAUUGCAGUGGAUACUGGGUCACUAGAGUGUGGUAGAGGAUAGUGGAAUUUCCGGUGUAGCAGUGAAAUGCGUAGAGAUCGGAAGGAACAUCUGUGGCGAAGGCGACUAUCUGGGCCAACACUGACACUGAGGCACGAAAGCGUGGGGAGCAAACAGGAUUAGAUACCCCAGUAGUCCCUGUCUCUUAUAC
Molecule: ribosomal RNA, 301 nt
Filed under: uncultured bacterium
Lineage: Bacteria
Description: partial 16S ribosomal RNA
Rfam family: Bacterial small subunit ribosomal RNA
Source: RNAcentral